This 611-nucleotide ribosomal RNA is filed under the name uncultured bacterium. RNAcentral's name for it is "bacterial SSU rRNA". It matches the Rfam family "Bacterial small subunit ribosomal RNA", at positions 338 to 954 of the family's 1533-position model. The record is from RNAcentral.
CCUACGUGAGGCAGCAGUAGGGAAUAUUGGACAAUGGGUGCGAGCCUGAUCCAGCCAUGCCGCGUGCAGGAAGAAGGCCUUCUGGGUUGUAAACUGCUUUUGCCGGGGGAUAAAAGACCCAUGCGUGGGGAAUUGAAGGUACCCGGUGAAUAAGCCACGGCUAACUACGUGCCAGCAGCCGCGGUAAUACGUAGGUGGCGAGCGUUGUCCGGAUUUAUUGGGUUUAAAGGGUGCGUAGGCGGCCCCGUAAGUCAGUGGUGAAAUACGGCAGCUCAACUGUCGAGGUGCCAUUGAUACUGCGGGGCUUGAGUACAGUCGAGGUAGGCGGAAUUGACGGUGUAGCGGUGAAAUGCUUAGAUAUCGUCAAGAACACCGAUAGCGAAGGCAGCUUGCUAGGCUGUAACUGACGCUGAGGCACGAAAGUGCGGGGAUCAAACAGGAUUAGAUACCCUGGUAGUCCGCACAGUAAACGAUGGUCACUCGGUGUUGGCGGUACACGGCCAGCGCCUUAGCGAAAGCGUUAAGUGACCCACCUGGGGAGUCGCCCGCAAGGGUGAAACUCAAAUGAAUUGACGGCNGAGACGNGCGACGGACGACGACGAGGGAGGAGG